This is a long non-coding RNA of Oryzias melastigma (Indian medaka), 2404 nucleotides long. RefSeq lists it as uncharacterized. The transcript has 3 exons. The record is from RefSeq and is a predicted model, not a curated record. NCBI's taxonomy places the organism in Eukaryota, Metazoa, Chordata, Actinopteri, Beloniformes, Adrianichthyidae.
AGAUGCUCGGUAAUGUGGUGGCUGGAGGAGGGACACACUGGAGGGGUGGGGUGGGGGGGUGGAUGAGCAGGGCUGGGCGGGACGGUGAACAGCCACAGCGAGAGCAGCAUCUCCACUCUGCCGGCCUGUCACCCGAGCACCGCACAGGACCUGAUCACAAGCCCAAAAAGUGAUGGAAGAGUCAGCCAAAGUGAAGGGAGCGUCUCCAAGGACAAAGCCUCCACUCCCUGUGAAAACAAGUGUUUACUAAUGUUAUUUUUAACGUUCAUUUAGGAGGUGGGUGAUAAAAGGAAUACAAAGUUCAAACUCUUGGGGACCAGACGGGAGACACACAAGGAGACAUGGAUCACAGCCAUUACAUAAGACUGGACUCCCUCUUGUGUUAACUCUGGCCUCAGGGAGUGUUUACUUUUUGAGGCAAGAAGCUGCAAAAUUCAGGAAAGUCGUCACGGUUGGGAGCGCACGUCAGACCCGCGUUUGAAGUCUGAUGUGGCCACUCCGGACGCCACUGCCCAAUCAAGCAUGGAGCAUGAUCUGAGGAUGGGUCUGUCGUUUUGGGCCAUUGCAGCCAUUGUUUGUAACUCAGUGGUUGGCGUCCUCAUCCUCGUCUUGUUUGUGAUCCUCUAUAAAGCCUGCAAGGUGCCUUCCCACCAAGAUAAAGUGCCAGCUUUCAUCCCGAGGCUGGAUCAGAAGAAGGCUGAACAGAAGCACAUGCUGGCUGCAGCUUGAUUAAGAAUUGAUCAUGUGAACCUUAUGUUUUGGCAAAAUCUGACUAAGCUAAUCUACUGGAAUUGAAGAAUUUGGAGGGAAAGCUGAGCGAGCACCUGCUUUGAAUAGUUAUUAUUAUGUUAACACCUGUGCAGUGCUUGGGGGAGUUCUGGAGACAGACGAAAACGUGUAAAAAUGAUGAAGACAUCUUGAUAAACUCGACAACACAGAGGCACUGCAAAUACAACCACAAACCAGUAAACUAAGUGCAUCAAGAUUUGUAGCAAGACCAACCACAACAACCAUGCCCAAUCCUCUUAUCUCUGCUGUGCGUCGCUGGGACUGUCCAUCUGUCAGUCUCUUUGGCUCGCAGCACAUGAUCUCCUCCCCUGCUCCACACUUUUUCAUCCCUUCAUGUUUGACAGCUGGCUUUUUAUGAGGGGGAAACAAAGAGUUUAAGUAAGUGGGAUGCAGAAGUCCUAGUGGGGAAAGCUUCCGUUUAGUCACUGCUAAAUGAUGAAAAAUUGAAACGUUAACUUCAAAGCUGGUGAACAGUUAGCAUUAUUUUUUGCUCUUACCAGUGAUUCCACUAAGUACAGCAAGAACACAGCAGGCUGGAAGAAGCAGGAGUCCAAAUUAAGACAGAUGGAGAUAGUAAUUUUUUUUAAGUGCAAGUGAUAAUAAAAGAAAAAAAGAAGAUAAACUUUAAUGUAUUGUUGACACAGAAGGGAACACCCAUUCUGCUCCAAAUACAUUCAAAAAAUACAACUUCAAUAUUUUUGGUGUGCCUCUGUUUUAUCCUUUCACCUUAAAUAAAGGCCAAAUUAUGGAUCUAUAAUUAAAUAACUGGUAAAAAAAAAUAUCUGUCGUCACACUUCCAAGUGCUUUUUGUGUUUUUUGUAGUGAAAUUUCUGCUGUGUUUACAAAAAAAGAGCAAAACAUGAAGUGAAAUAUGUCUUUGCUAUGUGAGGCAGAAGCUAACUUGUAAACCAUAAAGGGCAAUGUGUUUGAGUUUUUAAUUACCAAAGAAGUAUAUGUGUAGAAAUCUUGUUUCAGUAACAGUUCCUGUCUGUUCAUGACUUUAUCUUUGGAGCAGCUACUGCUUUUUACCUAAAGCCUGGUUGCAUCAUUGUGCACAGCCAUAAUGAAGUAAUGAACAAACCAGAUUUGUUUAUAUUGUUAGUUAAAUUAUUAUUAUUUUUUGUAAAAAAGCUGGUCAUUUUGAAUAUGUGACUUUCCCUUUUCAUAUGAGCUGAAUUAAGAGACUCUAACAGACCAAAUAGCAACUGUUUCCAGCAGUUCUUCAUUUGCAUUGUUGUUCUGCUUUGUCUUGGCACAGUUUUUACUAGUAAAGUCAGGCAAUAAACUCGUUACUAAUGACGUCCGAUGUUAAUGUUGCCCUUUCUGUGUGUGUUGAGCUAAUCAAUACCGGGCACACUGACUGCUGCUGCUGUGACCCACUUCCUGUUUGUUAAUCUGCCACAAGCGCUGUAAUCCUUAUCUUGUAACUAGAUUCCAACAUGAGUAUGUUGUAACAACCGUAGUGUAAUCUUCCCAGGACUGUGCUGACUUUCUCCAGUAUGUGGAAAAAGGUAGUUCUGCAUUACUUUUAUUUGAUAUUUUGAAAGAGAAAGGCAAAAAGUGCAGCAAAAAUAAAACUUUAUCAGUUUCUUUACACUUGUUGGUGAAACAUUUA